AGCUCUGUAGUGAAGUUCAUGUUGAGUUGCAAACUCAAUGAUGUGUAUAAAGGUACACCGGGGCUU
Molecule: transfer RNA, 66 nt
Filed under: Podargus strigoides (tawny frogmouth)
Lineage: Eukaryota; Metazoa; Chordata; Aves; Caprimulgiformes; Podargidae
Description: tRNA-Cys
Source: RNAcentral